GACGAACGCUGGCGGCGUGCUUAACACAUGCAAGUCGAACGUGAUUUUUGUGGAAAUUCUUUCGGGAAUGGAAAUGAAAUGAAAGUGGCGAACGGGUGAGUAACACGUGAGCAACCUACCUUACACAGGGGGAUAGCCGUUGGAAACGACGAUUAAUACCGCAUGAGACCACAGAAUCGCAUGAUAUAGGGGUCAAAGAUUUAUCGGUGUAAGAAGGGCUCGCGUCUGAUUAGCUAGUUGGAAGGGUAAAGGCCUACCAAAGCGACGAUCAGUAGCCGGUCUGAGAGGAUGAACGGCCACAUUGGAACUGAGACACGGUCCAAACUCCUACGGGAGGCAGCAGUGGGGAAUAUUGCACAAUGGGGGGAACCCUGAUGCAGCGACGCCGCGUGAGCGAAGAAGGUUUUCGAAUCGUAAAGCUCUGUCCUAUGAGAAGAUAAUGACGGUAUCAUAGGAGGAAGCCCCGGCUAAAUACGUGCCAGCAGCCGCGGUAAUACGUAUGGGGCGAGCGUUGUCCGGAAUUAUUGGGCGUAAAGGGUACGUAGGCGGUUUUUUAAGUCAGGUGUGAAAGCGUGAGGCUUAACCUCAUUAAGCACUUGAAACUGGAAGACUUGAGUGAAGGAGAGGAAAGGGGAAUUCCUAGUGUAGCGGUGAAAUGUGUAUAUAUUAUGGAGGAUACCGGUGUCGAAGGCGACUUUUUUGUAUUUUACUGACGCUCAUGUACGAAAGCGUGGCGAUUGAACUGUGUUGAUAUACCCUAUAUGUCCAUGGUGCGAUUUCCACUAUGGUAUUGUAGUCUGAUGGAUGAUGGUGGAUCUCGAGUGGGGGACAAAGUACCGCUGCCUUUUGUUCCUUUUAUUGUGUG
Molecule: ribosomal RNA, 865 nt
Filed under: uncultured Parvimonas sp.
Lineage: Bacteria; Bacillati; Bacillota; Tissierellia; Tissierellales; Peptoniphilaceae
Description: bacterial SSU rRNA
Rfam family: Bacterial small subunit ribosomal RNA
Source: RNAcentral